This is a non-coding RNA of Lolium perenne, 659 nucleotides long. The record is from RefSeq and is a predicted model, not a curated record. Lineage: Eukaryota; Viridiplantae; Streptophyta; Magnoliopsida; Poales; Poaceae.
ACGAACAUGUCGGAUCAUAGGCGCCUGCCGGACGCCCACCAUGGUCGCGCUUGCUCCUGUGAUUGGCCGCACCAUGGCGACGAGCCGAGGGGAGUGGGAAAGCAAACCGAGGCCGAGGCCAUGGUAGGUGGCGGAGCUCCAGGCUGACAGGACGACAAAGGAGAGGCGAUGGUGGCUCUCGGCUAUGGCUGCGGCCAGCGGGAGGGGCGCAAUCUGAUGGAGGUCUCCGAGGUGCAGAAAUAACAGCGGGGAGGCACAGAUGAUGAACUUAUGAGUUAUGAUCACCUUCUCGAGGUGAUUUAGUCGGCGUCCACCCAGAGGUGCUGCUGAUGAGUUUCGGCGACCACCUCGCCGAGCUGUUUCUCCUUCCAAGGUGAUUGUGCCUAGAGGUGGGAGAAAACAGUUGAAGCAAACACGACAGGGGCAGGUCCAUGGUCAAGCAAUCAGUUCCACAAGUUUGCCAAUGACAGUUACAAGUGUUUGUUGAAGCUAACUCUAAAUGCUUUGAGAUGCCAGACAGUCCGCGCCCGAGGAAUUAACAUCAAAUCCUUGCAGAGCGUGGCCGCAACUAUCAGUGUUAGAUUACCGUCGAUAGUUUAUGUAUCCUUUUUACUACCUAUUAGCACCGUAUUUGUACUAUGUUUAUGUACUACCCUCAA